GGACUACAGGGGUUUCUAAUCCCGUUUGCUCCCCUGGCUUUCGCGCCUCAGCGUCAGAAGAGGUCCAGCAUGCCGCCUUCGCCACCGGAGUUCCUAACGAUAUCAACGCAUUUCACCGCUCCACCGUUAGUUCCGCAUGCCCCUACCUCCCUCGAGACACCCAGUAUCCGCGGCAGUUCUCCAGUUGAGCUGGAGGAUUUCACCACGGACUUGAAUGCCCGCCUACGCGCCCUUUAAGCCCAGUGAUUCCGAACAACGUUCGCUCGGUUCGUCUUACCGCGGCUGCUGGCAC
RNAcentral lists this ribosomal RNA (292 nucleotides) under uncultured Planctomycetota bacterium. RNAcentral's name for it is "uncultured planctomycete partial 16S ribosomal RNA". Lineage: Bacteria; Pseudomonadati; Planctomycetota. The record is from RNAcentral.